RNAcentral lists this ribosomal RNA (621 nucleotides) under fungal sp. MG200Sn7L9x. RNAcentral's name for it is "eukaryotic LSU rRNA". The stretch from base 251 to 404 matches the Rfam family "5.8S ribosomal RNA". The record is from RNAcentral. Lineage: Eukaryota; Fungi.
UCUUGGGUCAUUUAGAGGAAGUAAAAGUCGUAACAAGGUUUCCGUAGGUGAACCUGCGGAAGGAUCAUUAAAGAGUAAGGGUGCUCAGCGCCCGACCUCCAACCCUUUGUUGUUAAAACUACCUUGUUGCUUUGGCGGGACCGCUCGGUUCCGAGCCGCUGGGGAUUCGUCCCAGGCGAGUGCCCGCCAGAGUUAAACCAAACUCUUGUUAUUAAACCGGUCGUCUGAGUUAAAAUUUUGAAUAAAUCAAAACUUUCAACAACGGAUCUCUUGGUUCUCGCAUCGAUGAAGAACGCAGCGAAAUGCGAUAAGUAAUGUGAAUUGCAGAAUUCAGUGAAUCAUCGAAUCUUUGAACGCACAUUGCGCCCCUUGGUAUUCCGAGGGGCAUGCCUGUUCGAGCGUCAUUACACCACUCAAGCUAUGCUUGGUAUUGGGUGUCGUCCUUAGUUGGGCGCGCCUUAAAGACCUCGGCGAGGCCUCCCCGGCUUUAGGCGUAGUAGAAUUUAUUCGAACGUCUGUCAAAGGAGAGGAACUCUGCCGACUGAAACCUUUAUUUUUACAGGUUGACCUCGGAUCAGGUAGGGAUACCCGCUGAACUUAAGCAUAUCAAUAAGCGGAGGA